UCUGCCUUAUCGGCAAGCGGUCUCAUUAGAGUGCCCAACUUAAUGGUGGCAACUAAUGACAAGGGUUGCGCUCGUUGCGGGACUUAACCCAACAUCUCACGACACGAGCUGACGACAGCCAUGCAGCACCUGUCUCAGAAUUCUCUUGCGAGCACCCCACUGUUUCCAGCGGGUUCUCUGGAUGUCAAGCCUAGGUAAGGUUUUUCGCGUUGCAUCGAAUUGAACCACAUACUCCACCGCUUGUGCGGGCCCCCGUCAAUUUCUUUGAGUUUUAACCUUGCGGCCGUACUCCCCAGGCGGAACACUCAAUGCGUUAGCGGCGGCACCGAAAGGGUAAGACCUCCCGACACCUAGUGUUCAUAGUUUAAGGCGUGGACUAC
RNAcentral lists this unclassified non-coding RNA (380 nucleotides) under uncultured Pseudomonadota bacterium. Its description in RNAcentral is "uncultured proteobacterium contains 16S-23S intergenic spacer region". The record is from RNAcentral. Lineage: Bacteria; Pseudomonadati; Pseudomonadota.